Molecule: long non-coding RNA, 362 nt
Filed under: Homo sapiens (human)
Lineage: Eukaryota; Metazoa; Chordata; Mammalia; Primates; Hominidae
Description: BEAN1 antisense RNA 1
Source: RNAcentral
ACAACAAACAGGCCGGGAGGAGGGACGGGAGGCCAGGAGAGCUCCACGUUCCGUGAAACCUUUGCAGAGGGGGACCUCAGAACCCUGGGACCUGGAUUUGGGACCUGACUCAGCCCUCAUAUGCGGUGUGAGCUCAACGCAUGAACACUGAGCUGCCUGGGUCUGCGGUGCCUCGAAACAGCAGUGGCCACUGUCUAGGGAGCAUCUCCCCGCAGCGCACUGGGUGUGCAGAGGCUGGGAAAACCCAGGAAGCAGGGUUAUUUGUCCUUAUUUCAUAAACAAAGAAAUGGAGCCCCUGAGAGCCACAGUGACAUGCCUGAGAGCAUCAACCUGGGCGGCGUCCAGGAUGGGCUCAAACCCAG